CCCAACUAAAGUUUGUCUCUUAAGUGGGGUCGGAAUAAGGUUGUGGCUAGGAAGAUCCUGACAACCCAGGGCCAGUGAGUGUCUCGGAAGCCUGUGAGGGGCGGAGACCCGGCCCGGGGAGGUGGAGAAGCUCGCCGGCCGCGGAAGACUAGGGGUGAGGCUGCUGCGAGGAAGACCCGGUCAGCUGUCCCUUCCCCCAUCGGUCCUCUUAGGGGAAGUGGAGAUGUGGGCCUCGGAGCUGCGUGGCCCGGGCUGUGCGGAUUCCCUAAACGCCGCACUUGCGCACAGCCCCUUACGUAACCGUCAGUGCCGGGGAUUCCCUGGAGGGGGUCAUUCUAUUCAACCAUUAUACACACCCCGGGCUCCUGCCGCCGCGCCGCCGCCGCCUCACAAAAUGGCGGCGCCCAUAGAGGAGACCGCGGCCGCCUCCCCGGCCCCAUUUUGUGGGAGGCGAGAGAUCUGUCAACAUGGAAAACCUCUGCUGAGGAUGCAUCCGAGUUUGGAAACCCCACUUAAGGGAUGGAGCCUGGGGGAUCACAUUAAACGGAAAAUGCCAACGACUUCUACCACCUCUACGCGUUUUUAGUUUUUCAUUUUCUCGAAGGAAGCGCCAGAAGCCUGUGGAGUAAUUGUAACUAGAGGGAGAACGGAAAGCUGAGGUGACUGCUCCGGGGACUUGGCGCGGCGCCUUGGUGGCUUUGGUUGCUCUUCCACGCUCCCGGCAGCUGACCAGAAUCUCUUGGAGGGUCUCCUGGGCCACCUCGGCCGCGCCAGUCGUGCAGUGAGACUUCUGUAGUUUUAAAAUGCCACAGUCCACGGCCCGGUCGGCACCGCUCGCCUGAAUCGUGGGCUUUGGGAACCUUGGAGGCUGCUGCUCCAGGAACUCGCGGUCGGCCGGGAGCCGGGGAGCUUCGUUGCUGGGAGCGGGCGGUAUUCGCGGACUCCGGCGGCCCUGGCGGGUCGCGGCCGGGAUCCGAGCCGGGGAUGACGAUGCUGAUGGAGCUGAUGGGGCAAGAGUGGGAACGGAGGCACGUACACUGAAAUUUAAGUCAUCCAAGUUGGGACUUAAGAUAGCAGGUUAAUAUUGUCUCAGGCGAGACUUAGAACGUCUUUUCUGGUAUCCCAGUCUGCAGUGGGCAAAUCUAUUGUCUUUAUUUCUCAUUUAAGGGCAGAAUGGAGGGAUGACAUAUUUUUACUUUUCAAGAGGCGGUUGCCACUUUUAAGUCACUGUUGUGUGUGUGUGUGUACAUACACAAACAUACGAUAGUGUGUUUUCAGAGCAAGUAUCAAAGGCUAAAGACUUGGAGUGAUACUAGUGUUUAAAAGCCUUUUUAAAAAAAUUAAGAUGUGAUGAGAAACUGGAGAAUUGACUUUUAAAAAUUUCUUUUCUGUAGAAGAGGCUAUCUUCAAAAUGGAGUCCUAAAGUAUAUCUGAUGGAUAGAAUUUAAAUUCUUAACACUGUAUAUACCCUGUGGUCAAAAGCAUCAACGUAAAACUUGAUGUUUAUCAGAUUACUUAUGUUUCAAUUUUCCUGUGGUUAGAAAAAUUAAGACAGAAGUAAGCUAUUAACGGUAUUUGCUUGUAAGAGUAACGUUAAAGGUUUAAGGAAAGGUUUGUUGAAAUCGAUAUGCAUCACACGAAUCAUUUAUUUUCAAUGUUGUUUUCCAGUUGCAGCAAUCAUUUGUGUUUACAUGACUUUGAAAAAGGGUUUAGUUUAUGUUGAUUUUGACCCUCUUAUUUAAUCUCUAGUGCAGAAGUGCAGCUUUCUGCAGGCUGCGCCUCAAUCGCUAAGUUCCACUCUCCAUCCUCUGCCGCGCUACUCCUGGCAUGUGGAUCACCAAGAUACAAUUUCUGGUCCUGUCUGUUCUUAUUGAUGUCCUUUACAGUUAAUAAAUUUGAUUGCCACUAAUCAGUCUGUAUCUCUUGCAAAAACACCACAUUUAGCAUCCAAGUAGAGUCAGAGUAUGUUUUUUAUGAGAUUGUACUAAAGUAACCUUCUAUUACAUUUCUUAUUACCAUAUUGCAUUUCCUAUAGUGGGCAGCAUAGAGCAGGUGGAUCCUGACAAAGUAAUGUUAGAGAUGUGCUGACAGCUUUACAAUAGAUAUUCUCCAACUAAUUUGACAAGAUAUAAAAUAAAAUGUAGUUCGUAGUUUUCAAGCAUUAAUGGAAAGUGUUCCUAUUAAAAAAUUACCAAUAACAGUGGAAAUUGUUGCAAUCCAAUUUGUAUAGUUUACUGUUUUGAUGACAAAGCGCUUAUGAUGGGAAAAAUGUAGUGUUGCUUUUGUAACUGCAAACGCUGCACGCCGUAAUUAGAGGUUUAUGUUAUUUUAUUUGAAUUUUUCAUUCUUACCAUCAGUUUUCAUAUUAGUCAGGAAAUUGUGAUAAAUUAAAAAUUCCCUCAUUCAACUAAACCUUAAAAAACUGUACCCAGUUUCAAAUCAAGCAUUAUCAGGUGUAUGAUUACAACAGCUGAAAUAAAUUGAGGAAUUGGUAUGCCAACUCAGUGGAGAAAUUUUGGGAUUUUAGGUCACUCUAAGAUUUAAAAAAAUAGUUUGAUUCGUUAAACAAGGCUAUUGAAGUUAAAUUGAUAUUUCCUUAAAGAUGAUUUUAGAGAAAAAUUCCUUGGCGAGCUUCGAGAAUGCGUUCAUGGCUUCUGUUGCCUGUACCUACUGCUAUACUUUUUUAUGUGGACUAAUUUGUCUUAUUUGAAAAUUUGAUUACAAUAUCAAAUCCUAGAUGAAGCCCUUCCAUUCUUAGGGUGAUUCUAAGGAGUACUGAUAACUAAGCUCUUAAAAGGCGAGGAAAUAGUUUAUUCUACUGCAGAUUAGGGUAAUCUUAAUACAGACACUCUGAUGGUAAUUCUAAGCAGUGUUGAUAACUAAGCUUUUAAAAGAUAAGGAAAUAGUUUAUUCUACUUCAGAGUAGGGUAAUUUUAAUGCCCUGAAUAUACUCUGAAUCUUUUAUAGAUAGAUUUCUGGAUGAUUUGGCCCAAAAAAUCUGAUAAGCUUUGGGGAAUUUUUUAAUUUUUUUUUCUCUUAAAGAGAAAUCAGAAAUGUGGGAUUUUUUUAAAAAUUUAUUUUCAGUAGAUAUUGGAGAUUAUGCUUUGUACAUUAAAUCCAGUUUGAUUUUUAAGUGAUAAUUUUCAAUUAAAGACUUUUUAAUAAGACAACUAAAAAAUUAAAUUUUAGUCAAUUACAAUAAUAUUUUUUGGAGAAGCAUUCCCAGAUGUGCUUUUGACGGGGAGUUGAUUUCAUUAGUUGUUUGGGUUGUUUAAUCCAGAAUUUUUAAAACUGUUAUGGGUUUAAUUUGCUACAUUUGUCCAUUCUUAUUCAUUUCAUCUGUUUUGAUCACUGAAAAGUUGUCUAAAAACUGUGCUCAUUAUACACAGUUUAUAGUAUUUUAAUACUUUGUUUAUAGUAUUUAAUAGCUUCUGAAAACUUUAAGAGAACAUACUAAACCAAGGAACUAUUUAUUAAUGGUAAUCUAUAUUUAGUAAUAAAUAUAUUUGUAACUUACUAAAUGUAAGUUUACUAAAUGUAGAUUACUAAAUCACUGAGUAAAUAUUUCUUGAAUAUUUGGACAAGAGAUGGGGGGAGGGAGAAUGACUUGACCCUCAAGAAACUUAACUGCUACCUUUAAAAGGUUAUAAUGAAGCUGGGCACAGUGGUACACACCUGUAGUCCCAGCUACUCAGGAGGCUGAGGCAGGAGGACCCCUUGAGCCGAGGAGUUCGAGGCUCUGUCUCUUAAAACAAAAAAAGUUAUAAAAAUAUUCAGACUGGAGGGUUCCUAACUUUUAAUACUUAAGCAGGGUCUUUACCACAGAGUUAAAUUUAAAAUUCUGUUUAGAAUGGUAACAAAUUUAAUUAUGUACAAAACAGCAUCACUUUAGUGUUAGGAUCAGUGUUACUCAAAGUGUUGUAAUGUUAAUAACAAGCAUUUAAAUCACAUUGUUUGAAAACUGGGAUCUACAAAAAAUAUGAUUCCAAUAAUUAACUUUUUAAUUAUGGGAAAGGCAAGGGAAUGUUCAGUGAAUGUAAAAAAAAUAUACUACUGAGCAAACAAAUUGUUUUAAUGAAUUUUGAUUUUCUGUUUUAAUUUUUUGGUACAUUGACUCUUCUUGACAUGGCACUUUGCUAUUAAUUAAAAAAAAUUAAACCCCAAAGACAAAUUAAUUCUGUAUUUAAUGCAGAUUUAAUUCUUGACUAGCUGUAAUGCUUAAGGAGUUGGCAGUCUUGUUGGCAAAACAAUAAAAUAGGAAUUAAGCUGAAAUGUAAAAUUGUGUAAUAAUUAGGUUUCAUUAAAGUAUAUAUAGUUUCCUUAAUAACUACAUGAGUCAGUAGUGUUGACUUAAUAAUAAGUUAUUUAGCUUUUGCUUUUCUCUGAAAACAUAUCAAACUCUUCAUAUAUAGCAUCGAAAUAGAUAUUCAACCUGAGCCACUGUAAAUUGUUGAAGCUUAUUGCUAUACAUUAAGGGAAAUUCUAUCCAACAGUUCAGUGUAAACAAUUUUUUAAAGGUGCUAUGAUUCUUUAACAUGAUUUGUAGUAUGUAGAACUCAAGUAUUCUAGAAUAAUCUUUGCAUGAUAAUGUAUGAGAAACAUUUAUAAACAGUCCUUCAGGUGUACAAAAUAACUGACAUAAUAUUUUGCAUUUAACUACACUGCCUCCAAGUAUUUUAAACAAAGAUGAAAUUUUUAGAGUAUUGUGCUAUAUUUUUAUAACUGAAUUUCCCUCUUAUUAACAAUACUCAUAACAUUUAGCCAUUAAUGAUUACUGAUAGCUUAAAUAAGAGUGUAGUUUCUGUUUCUAAUGUCUAUUAAUUUUAACCCCAUUUAAAGAUAUUUCCUACUUAUCAUACUCAAAGUUAAUCAGAAGUUAAAUAAAUGAUGGUCCUUCUGGUUCUCUGGAAACUGAAAAGAAGCUUCUGUUUCUUUAGGGUAUGCAGGAAUUUUUUUUCUUCCCAGUGAGCUGAAUCCAUCCUUUACGCUGCUAUUUGCUAACCUCAGUUGUUUUUCUGCUCCAUUAAAGUUGAGGCCACCAAAAAUAGUAGUAAUAUCACAACUACAAAACCCUGGGUGGAUUUGUACCCAUUGCACAUACACUUCUUGCUGCCAAUUCCUAAGAGACUUUUGAAAUAAUAGUAUAUUCCCAGCUGGACAAUAUAUUCUACUUGUGGCCUAUGUAUAGUGUUCAACAAGUCCAGGAGCCCUAUGAAACGGAAUGUGUUUACUGCAUUUUUCUAGGGAGAAGUUCUCAGCAGGCACGGGCAUCUUAAAGACCCUGUGAUGCCCAAAAGGUUAAAGCUCUAUUUGCUAAUGACAGAUAGUAAGUUUGGAGGAUUGCUUCAGGUGCAGCAUUUUAUUUUGUGGGUUGUUGGCCUGUAGGGAAAAACAUUUUGAAAUUGUAGUUAAGGAAUACCACUUCAGUUCAUCAAAUUAAAAAAAUUAUGGCAAAUAAGCAAAAAUCUAUUUCUAAAGAACUACAUACAAUAUAUUCUUACAGAAAAUUUUAGAUUAAAUGCAUGUAACUGUUUUUUUGGUUUGCCAUGUAUUGAAAAUGGAUGGAUGGGGGAUUACAUUAGUUGAUGUAUUUAUUUAUUUAUUUUUGAGGCGGAGUCUCACUCUGUUGCCCAGGCUGGGGUGCAGUAGCGCAGUCUCGGCUCGCAACCUCUGCACCCUAGGCUCAAGCAACACUCGCACCUCCACCUCCUGAAUAGCUAGGACUACAGGUGCACGCACCAUACCACACCUGGCUAAUUUUUGUAUUUUUUUAUAGAGACAGGGGUCUUGCUAUGCUGCCCAGGCUGGUCUUAAACUCCUGAGCUCAAGCAAUCUGCAUGCCCAAGCCAUUGGCCCAUCUUGGCCUUCUAAAGUGCUGGGAUUACAGGCGUGAGUCACCAUGGUCAGCCCAUAUUAAUUUAAAGUAGGCUUCAAAUAUAAUUAUUCACUAAUUGGGAAUGCCUGGGGAUGUAUAUGAAUGUAUUACCGUUUUGUGAGUAGUAGUGUGUGCUUGUGUUCAUGGAUGGCAUUCAUCAGAAUGUUUGCAAUGGUGUAGCCAGGUUACACUGCCAUCUUCCUGUUCUCCUUUGUGCUUACUUGCUCUGCCUGUAUUUGCUGCAGUUUCUAGCGAGUGUAUGUAGGUGUUGGCCCAGAACUUGCUUUUGUAGAGAUCAUACAUUGUGCUAAUUUAUCCCAAAUCAGUUUUUGUGUAUUAUCUGUGGGCCCAAUGUGUAAUUUGAACUUUAAGGAUACUACUUCAGACUGCAGUGUAGCAUAACCUUUAAAAAAAAAAAUGCUAGUUUUGCCCUAAUCUGUGCAUAUUCCAGUUGUUCAAUGGGUAUUAGUAAUACAUGAAUUACUUCUGUGCCCUUUUUGGUGUAGAGUCUCAUAUGAAUAAUUACUGUUAUUUAAAACCCACGACUCCAUGCAUUGUUUUGGUGGGAGAGGGUAGUUUCCCAUCAUGUUUUACAUAUAUGUUAGCAUUCAGAUUUUCCUUUUUAGCCCACUCCCUACUGAACUGAAGGGAAAGGGCGUAUUUGAGAGAAAACAUAUGCUUUACUCAGGUUCCAAUAAUUAAGCCAAUGCACUUGAUUUAAGUUAUACAUUUAGCUCAUUCUUAAAGUGUAAUAAAGACUUUAAGCCUCCUGGCUCCCAAAUCAGUGCUUUUUCUACUAAACAUUCUUUCUGUCUUGCUAAAAAAAUCCAAUUUUCAGAAUCAAGUUAGUUGCUAAGCAAAUAU
RNAcentral lists this long non-coding RNA (6739 nucleotides) under Homo sapiens (human). RNAcentral's name for it is "non-protein coding LINC00938:1". The record is from RNAcentral. Lineage: Eukaryota; Metazoa; Chordata; Mammalia; Primates; Hominidae.